RNAcentral lists this ribosomal RNA (269 nucleotides) under uncultured bacterium. RNAcentral's name for it is "partial 16S ribosomal RNA". It matches the Rfam family "Bacterial small subunit ribosomal RNA", at positions 28 to 286 of the family's 1533-position model. The record is from RNAcentral.
GACGAACGCUAGCGGCGUGCCUAAGGUAUGCAAGUCGAACGGGUUGGAGGGCUUGCCCUCCAGCUAGUGGCGAACGGUCGAGUAACACGUAGACUACCUGCCUUCCAGUGGGGGACAACCGCUCGAAAGGGACGGCUAAUACCGCAUACGGCGAGGGAGAGCCUUCUCCCCUGGCCAAAGGGUUGGCGCAAGUCAACUCGCUGGAAGAUGGGUCUGCGGCCUAUCAGCUUGUUGGUGAGGUAACGGCUCACCAAGGCGACGACGGGUAG